Molecule: ribosomal RNA, 578 nt
Filed under: uncultured bacterium
Lineage: Bacteria
Description: bacterial SSU rRNA
Rfam family: Bacterial small subunit ribosomal RNA
Source: RNAcentral
CCUACGGGAGGCAGCAGUGAGGAAUAUUGGACAAUGGAGGCAACUCUGAUCCAGCCAUGCCGCGUGCAGGAAGACGGCCCUACGGGUUGUAAACUGCUUUUAUACAGGAAGAAUUAUACCUACGUGUAGGUAUUUGACGGUACUGUAAGAAUAAGGAUCGGCUAACUCCGUGCCAGCAGCCGCGGUAAUACGGAGGGUGCAAGCGUUAUCCGGAUUUAUUAGGUUUAAAGGGUUCGCAGGCGGAAUUUUAAGUCAGUGGUGAAAGCCUAUAGCUCAACUAUAGAACUGCCACUGAUACUGAUAUUCUUGAGUGUAGAUGAAGUGGGCGGAAUAUGUCAUGUAGCGGUGAAAUGCAUAGAUAUGACAUGGAACACCAAUUGCGAAGGCAGCUCACUAAACAAUUACUGACGCUCAUGAACGAAAGCAUGGGGAGCGAACAGGAUUAGAUACCCUGGUAGUCCAUACCGUAAACUAUGAUCACUAGAUGUUGGCGAUAUACUGUCAGUGUUUAAGAGAAAUCGUUAAGUGAUCCACCUGGGGAGUACGUUCGCAAGAAUGAAACUCAAAGGAAUUGACGG